Molecule: ribosomal RNA, 404 nt
Filed under: uncultured bacterium
Lineage: Bacteria
Description: bacterial SSU rRNA
Rfam family: Bacterial small subunit ribosomal RNA
Source: RNAcentral
UGGGGAAUAUUGGACAAUGGGCGAAAGCCUGAUCCAGCCAUGCCGCGUGAGUGAUGAAGGCCUUAGGGUUGUAAAGCUCUUUCGCCAGGGAAGAUAAUGACGGUACCUGGAAAAGAAGCCUCGGCUAACUCCGUGCCAGCAGCCGCGGUAAGACGGAGGAGGCUAGCGUUGUUCGGAAUUACUGGGCGUAAAGCGUGCGCAGGUUGUGAGUUCAGUUGGAUGUGAAAGCCCGGGGCUUAACCUCGGAUGUGCAUCCAAUACUGGCUCGCUGGAGGUUGGAAGAGGAGAGUGGAAUUCCCAGUGUAGAGGUGAAAUUCGUAGAUAUUGGGAAGAACACCAGUGGCGAAGGCGGCUCUCUGGUCCAUACCUGACACUCAUGCACGAAAGCGUGGGGAGCAAACAGG